Molecule: ribosomal RNA, 492 nt
Filed under: uncultured bacterium
Lineage: Bacteria
Description: partial 16S ribosomal RNA
Rfam family: Bacterial small subunit ribosomal RNA
Source: RNAcentral
AGUGAACGCUGGCGGUAGGCCUAACACAUGCAAGUCGAACGGCAGCACAGUAAGAGCUUGCUCUUACGGGUGGCGAGUGGCGGACGGGUGAGGAAUACAUCGGAAUUUACUUUUUCGUGGGGGAUAACGUAGGGAAACUUACGCUAAUACCGCAUACGACCUACGGGUGAAAGCAGGGGAUCUUCGGCCCUUGCGCGAUUCAAUGAGCCGAUGUCGGAUUAGCUAGUUGGCGGGGUAAAGGCCCACCAAGGCGACGAUCCGUAGCUGGUCUGAGAGGAUGAUCAGCCACACUGGAACUGAGACACGGUCCAGACUCCUACGGGAGGCAGCAGUGGGGAAUAUUGGACAAUGGGCGCAAGCCUGAUCCAGCCAUACCGCGUGGGUGAAGAAGGCCUUCGGGUUGUAAAGCCCUUUUGUUGGGAAAGAAAAGCAGCAGGUUAAUACCCCGCUGUUCUGACGGUACCCAAAGAAUAAGCACCGGCUAACUUCGUG